AUUGAACGCUGGCGGCAUGCCUUACACAUGCAAGUCGAACGGCAGCACGGGAGCAAUCCUGGUGGCGAGUGGCGAACGGGUGAGUAAAGUAUCGGAACGUGCCCAGUCGUGGGGGAUAACGUAGCGAAAGCUACGCUAAUACCGCAUACGAUUUAUGGAUGAAAGCGGGGGACCGCAAGGCCUCGCGCGAUUGGAGCGGCCGAUAUCAGAUUAGGUAGUUGGUGGGGUAAAGGCCCACCAAGCCGACGAUCUGUAGCUGGUCUGAGAGGACGACCAGCAACACUGGGACUGAGAGACGGCGCAGACUCCUACGGGAGGCAGCAGUGGGGAAUUUUGGACAAUGGGCGCAAGCCUGAUCCAGCAAUGCCGCGUGCAGGAUGAAGGCCUUCGGGUUGUAAACUGCUUUUGUACGGAGCGAAAAGGCUCUCACUAAUACUGGGGGCUCAUGACGGUACCGUAAGAAUAAGCACCGGCUAACUACGUGCCAGCCGCCGCAGUAA
RNAcentral lists this ribosomal RNA (500 nucleotides) under uncultured bacterium. RNAcentral describes it as "partial 16S ribosomal RNA". It matches the Rfam family "Bacterial small subunit ribosomal RNA", at positions 29 to 523 of the family's 1533-position model. The record is from RNAcentral.